GAUGAACGCUGGCGGCGUGCCUAAUACAUGCCAGUCGAGCGAACGGACGAGAAGCUUGCUUUUCUGAUGUUAGCGGCGGACGGGUGAGUAACACGUGGAUAACCUACCUAUAAGACUGGGAUAACUUCGGGAAACCGGAGCUAAUACCGGAUAAUAUUUUGAACCGCAUGGUUCAAAAGUGAAAGACGGUCUUGCUGUCACUUAUAGAUGGAUCCGCGCUGCAUUAGCUAAUUGGUAAGGUAACGGCUUACCAAGGCAACGAUGCAUAGCCGACCUGAGAGGGUGAUCGGCCACACUGGAACUGAGACACGGUCCAGACUCCUACGGGAGGCAGCAGUAGGGAAUCUUCCGCAAUGGGCGAAAGCCUGACGGAGCAACGCCGCGUGAGUGAUGAAGGUCUUCGGAUCGUAAAACUCUGUUAUUAGGGAAGAACAUAUGUGUAAGUAACUGUGCACAUCUUGACGGUACCUAAUCAGAAAGCCACGGCUAACUACGUG
RNAcentral lists this ribosomal RNA (497 nucleotides) under uncultured bacterium. Its description in RNAcentral is "partial 16S ribosomal RNA". It matches the Rfam family "Bacterial small subunit ribosomal RNA", at positions 28 to 507 of the family's 1533-position model. The record is from RNAcentral.